GAAAUGCGAUAAGUAAUGUGAAUUGCAGAAUUCAGUGAAUCAUCGAAUCUUUGAACGCACAUUGCGCCCCCUGGUAUUCCGGGGGGCAUGCCUGUUCGAGCGUCAUUUCACCACUCAAGCCUCGCUUGGUAUUGGGCGACGCGGUCCGCCGCGCGCCUCAAAUCGACCGGCUGGGUCUUCCGUCCCCUCAGCGUUGUGAAACUAUUCGCUAAAGGGUGCCGCGGGAGGUCACGCCGCAAAACAACCCCAUUUCUAAGGUUGACCUCGGAUCAGGUAGGGAUACCCGCUGAACUUAAGC
RNAcentral lists this unclassified non-coding RNA (298 nucleotides) under plant metagenome. RNAcentral describes it as "partial contains 5.8S ribosomal RNA, internal transcribed spacer 2, and large subunit ribosomal RNA". The stretch from base 1 to 105 matches the Rfam family "5.8S ribosomal RNA", at positions 50 to 154 of the family's 154-position model. The record is from RNAcentral.